Molecule: ribosomal RNA, 1409 nt
Filed under: bacterium NLAE-zl-C425
Lineage: Bacteria
Description: bacterial SSU rRNA
Rfam family: Bacterial small subunit ribosomal RNA
Source: RNAcentral
GCUACCAUGCAGUCGAGGGGCAGCAUUUCAGUUUGCUUGCAAACUGGAGAUGGCGACCGGCGCACGGGUGAGUAACACGCUAUCCAACCUGCCGAUAACUCGGGGAUAGCCUUUCGAAAGAAAGAUUAAUACCCGAUGGUAUAAUCAGACCGCAUGGUCUUNUUAUUAAAGAAUUUCGGUUAUCGAUGGGGAUGCGUUCCAUUAGGCAGUUGGUGAGGUAACGGCUCACCAAACCUUCGAUGGAUAGGGGUUCUGAGAGGAAGGUCCCCCACAUUGGAACUGAGACACGGUCCAAACUCNUACGGGAGGCAGCAGUGAGGAAUAUUGGUCAAUGGGCGCAGGCCUGAACCAGCCAAGUAGCGUGAAGGAUGACUGCCCUAUGGGUUGUAAACUUCUUUUAUAUGGGAAUAAAGUUUUCCACGUGUGGAAUUUUGUAUGUACCAUAUGAAUAAGGAUCGGCUAACUCCGUGCCAGCAGCCGCGGUUAAUACGGAGGAUCCGAGCGUUAUCCGGAUUUAUUGGGUUUAAAGGGAGCGUAGGUGGACAGUUAAGUCAGUUGUGAAAGUUUGCGGCUCAACCGUAAAAUUGCAGUUGAUACUGGCUGUCUUGAGUACAGUAGAGGUGGGCGGAAUUCGUGGUGUAGCGGUGAAAUGCUUAGAUAUCACGAAGAACUCCGAUUGCGAAGGCAGCUCACUGGACUGCAACUGACACUGAUGCUCGAAAGUGUGGGUAUCAAACAGGAUUAGAUACCCUGGUAGUCCACACAGUAAACGAUGAAUACUCGCUGUUUGCGAUAUACAGUAAGCGGCCAAGCGAAAGCAUUAAGUAUUCCACCUGGGGAGUACGCCGGCAACGGUGAAACUCAAAGGAAUUGACGGGGGCCCGCACAAGCGGAGGAACAUGUGGUUUAAUUCGAUGAUACGCGAGGAACCUUACCCGGGCCUAAAUUGCAUUUGAAUAUUUUGGAAACAGUNUAGCCGNAAGGCAAAUGUGAAGGUGCUGCAUGGUUGUCGUCAGCUCGUGCCGUGAGGUGUCGGCUUAAGUGCCAUAACGAGCGCAACCCUUAUCUUUAGUUACUAACAGGUCAUGCUGAGGACUCUAGAGAGACUGCCGUCGUAAGAUGUGAGGAAGGUGGGGAUGACGUCAAAUCAGCACGGCCCUUACGUCCGGGGCUACACACGUGUUACAAUGGGGGGUACAGAAGGCAGCUACCUGGUGACAGGAUGCUAAUCCCAAAAGCCUCUCUCAGUUCGGAUCGAAGUCUGCAACCCGACUUCGUGAAGCUGGAUUCGCUAGUAAUCGCGCAUCAGCCAUGGCGCGGUGAAUACGUUCCCGGGCCUUGUACACACCGCCCGUCAAGCCAUGAAAGCCGGGGGUACCUGAAGUACGUAACCGCAAGGAGCUCNNGGA